AUACGUAGGGGGCGAGCGUUGUCCGGAAUGAUUGGGCGUAAAGGGCGCGUAGGCGGCCUGUUAAGUCUGGAGUGAAAGUCCUGUUUUCAAGAUGGGAAUUGCUUUGGAUACUGAUGGGCUUGAGUGCAGGAGAGGUUAUCGGAAUUCCCGGUGUAGCGGUGAAAUGCGUAGAGAUCGGGAGGAACACCAGUGGCGAAGGCGGGUAACUGGACUGCAACUGACGCUGAGGCGCGAAAGUGUGGGGAGCAAACAGGAUUAGAUACCCUGAUAGUCCACACUGUAAACGAUGAAUGCUAGGUGUAAGAGGUAUCGACCCCUUUUGUGCCGGAGUUAACACAAUAAGCAUUCCGCCUGGGGAGUACGGCCGCAAGGUUGAAACUCAAAGGAAUUGACGGGG
RNAcentral lists this ribosomal RNA (397 nucleotides) under uncultured bacterium. RNAcentral's name for it is "partial 16S ribosomal RNA". It matches the Rfam family "Bacterial small subunit ribosomal RNA", at positions 523 to 918 of the family's 1533-position model. The record is from RNAcentral.